GGGUUGUGAGGUUAAGCGACUAAGCGUACACGGUGGAUGCCCUGGCAGUCAGAGGCGAUGAAGGACGUGCUAAUCUGCGAUAAGCGCCGGUAAGGUGAUAUGAACCGUUAUAACCGGCGAUUUCCGAAUGGGGAAACCCAGUGUGACUCGUCACACUAUCAUUAACUGAAUCCAUAGGUUAAUGAGGCGAACCGGGGGAACUGAAACAUCUAAGUACCCCGAGGAAAAGAAAUCAACCGAGAUUCCCCCAGUAGCGGCGAGCGAACGGGGAGGAGCCCAGAGCCUGAAUCAGCAUGUGUGUUAGUGGAAGCGUCUGGAAAGGCGCGCGAUACAGGGUGACAGCCCCGUACACAAAAGCGCAUGUGUUGUGAGCUCGAUGAGUAGGGCGGGACACGUGGUAUCCUGUCUGAAUAUGGGGGGACCAUCCUCCAAGGCUAAAUACUCCUGACUGACCGAUAGUGAACCAGUACCGUGAGGGAAAGGCGAAAAGAACCCCGGCGAGGGGAGUGAAAAAGAACCUGAAACCGUGUACGUACAAGCAGUGGGAGCCCCACCACUAAGCCAGUGGUGAACUCCACAUACGCAUCCUUUGCUGAAGGUGCGGUUAACGGAGCGCAAGCGACGUUCAACCUCAAAAGAAGCAGAGGGGGCUUAGUGGUGGGGUGACUGCGUACCUUUUGUAUAAUGGGUCAGCGACUUAUAUUCUGUAGCAAGGUUAACCGCAUAGGGGAGCCGGAGGGAAACCGAGUCUUAAUUGGGCGUUAAGUUGCAGGGUAUAGACCCGAAACCCGGUGAUCUAGCCAUGGGCAGGUUGAAGGUUGGGUAACACUAACUGGAGGACCGAACCGACUAAUGUUGAAAAAUUAGCGGAUGACCUGUGGCUGGGGGUGAAAGGCCAAUCAAACCGGGAGAUAGCUGGUUCUCCCCGAAAGCUAUUUAGGUAGCGCCUCGUGAAUUCAUCUCCGGGGGUAGAGCACUGUUUCGGCUAGGGGGCCAUCCCGGCUUACCAACCCGAUGCAAACUGCGAAUACCGGAGAAUGUUAUCACGGGAGACACACGGCGGGUGCUAACGUCCGUCGUGAAGAGGGAAACAACCCAGACCGCCAGCUAAGGUCCCAAAGUCAUGGUUAAGUGGGAAACGAUGUGGGAAGGCCCAGACAGCCAGGAUGUUGGCUUAGAAGCAGCCAUCAUUUAAAGAAAGCGUAAUAGCUCACUGGUCGAGUCGGCCUGCGCGGAAGAUGUAACGGGGCUAAACCAUGCACCGAAGCUGCGGCAGCGA
Molecule: ribosomal RNA, 1279 nt
Filed under: Salmonella enterica subsp. enterica
Lineage: Bacteria; Pseudomonadati; Pseudomonadota; Gammaproteobacteria; Enterobacterales; Enterobacteriaceae
Description: bacterial LSU rRNA
Rfam family: Bacterial large subunit ribosomal RNA
Source: RNAcentral